GUAGGUGCAAGCGUUGUCCGGAAUUAUUGGGCGUAAAGCGCGCGCAGGCGGUUCUUUAAGCCUGAUGUGAAAGCCCACGGCUCAACCGUGGAGGGUCAUUGGAAACUGGAGAACUUGAGUACAGAAGAGGAAAGCGGAAUUCCACGUGUAGCGGUGAAAUGCGUAGAGAUGUGGAGGAACACCAGUGGCGAAGGCGGCUUUCUGGUCUGUAACUGACGCUGAGGCGCGAAAGCGCGGGGAGCAAACAGGGAUUAGAUACCCUGGUAGUCCACGCCGUAAACGAUGAGUGCUAAGUGUUAGGGGGUUUCCGCCCCCUUAGUGCUGCAGCUAACGCAUUAAGCACUCCGCCUGGGGAUAAGGCCGCAAGGCUG
RNAcentral lists this ribosomal RNA (371 nucleotides) under uncultured organism. RNAcentral describes it as "partial 16S ribosomal RNA". It matches the Rfam family "Bacterial small subunit ribosomal RNA", at positions 528 to 896 of the family's 1533-position model. The record is from RNAcentral.